Lepisosteus oculatus (spotted gar) is the source of this 312-nucleotide long non-coding RNA. RefSeq lists it as uncharacterized. Lineage: Eukaryota; Metazoa; Chordata; Actinopteri; Semionotiformes; Lepisosteidae. The record is from RefSeq and is a predicted model, not a curated record.
UCAAGACAUCUGAGAAUUGACCACUAAUCUUGCACUGUUAUACAUGCAGUAUGCCUAUUGAUCCAAAAUACAGAAAUAUACAUUGACGGUGUCGCGAGUGGGGACACAACGAAAGUCACCGUGCUGUGUUAAGCAUGUCGAGGCGGAGAAUUUAAAUGACAGUGACCUCUGCUGGGGAUACGUGGAAGUGCACUGAGGUGAUGCGAAAGCACAGGAAAUACACUGAAUGCGCUUGGCUCCUAUGAAGAUCUGUUCUGUCCAAUUAAGUGAUGGAGGCUAAGACUGUUUCCUUGGAGGAGAUGUCAGUUUGAC